CAGGAGUCCUACUCUCAGCUCCCCAUCACCAACCGAGAGGAGCAACCGCACUAGGAUAUAUGGACAAACAGCUCCACGAAAGCCCAUCUGGAGAGACGCUCCCCACACUAGGACCCCUGGAGGCUCACCAGGGAGCCCCCCGCGCUGGUCAUUUGUGGAAGCCAAGGUCGGCGAUAGAGGCCUCUGGGUGGAGGCCUGUGACGAAACCAAGUGGGGAGGCCCUGAAGAGCCCUGUGCCUAGUGGGGGGGCCACGAGCACAUCCUCUGACAGAGGACGGAGAGCUGACCUCAGUGAACCCAAGCGCACUCCUGGCCUCAUCCUGCGCUCCCGGGGACAGCCCUAGGAGCGUCCAAUACAGCCCUCUGCAGCUGGGCCACCAGCAUCUGAGCCACCUGGUCUUCCACUGCCCCCACCAGCCCUCAGCCAGCCUGUUACUGGCCCUGCCCCAUCUCUUGUCCUCCUCCCUGACCCCACGGAGACCCCUGCCCUCGAUGACCCCGUCCUCAAUGAUAUUGCUGGGGUGGGGGGAGAGGGUCCUGCUCAAUGCCCAGGAAGAAUUGAGAUGGGGCAAGCAGGGGGCUUUGGAUUUGGAGUCUGGAUAGUUCCCUGAGCAAGCGCCUGUCCCUCUGGGCCUCAGUGUCCCCAUCUGUAUGCGGUGAGUGUCGAAUUGUGCUAAGGUUUGCAUGUGACUUGUCCCCAGUGAAAUUCAUGUUGGCAUUGAUUCCCACUAUAAGGGGGUUGUGGGGUGGUGAUCAGGUUGUUACGAGGGACUAACCCCCUGCUGCGGCACUCGGCUGCUUCUCUUGGGAGUGAGUUCUCGCUCUCUGGGGCGAGGCUAGUUACCAUGGGAGUGGGUGGUACACGGCGAGGCUGCCCCUUGCGUUUCUCUUCUGCACGCACCUGCUUGCCCUUUCGCUUCCCACCAUGAAUUAAAGCAGCACGAGGUCCUCACUGCUGCCAUGUUCUUGGACUUUCAGCCUCCACAACCCUCAGCCCAAAUAGACCUCUAUUCUUCAUAAGUCUGCCGGUCUCAGGUAUUCUGUUAUAGCAACAAAGAAAUGGACCAGGAGUCCCUGAGGGAUCUCUGAGGUUGUGACCGAGGCCCCUGUGAGCCAGGACAAGCCCAGCCACACAACAGGCCUGGGGACCAACCACUGCCCUCAGACUGUCAGUCACUUUUGUCCUUUGCUCCCUUUGUCUGCUCACAAGACCCUCCUCAGCCAGCCCAGAGAACUGCUUCUGCCUCACUGCACCCCACAAAGCAGCUGAGGAAAGCCCGCCUCCCACAGCUCCCAUUUCUCGCAGCCCCUGGGCAUUCCUUGAAUCACAUCCAAGGUAGAAUGGCCAGGGGACAUUUUCCAUGCAGGGGACACACUUCCAUGGCAUCUGUGGCUGUGGAUGGCUGCAUGGGCCUCAAGCAUGC
Molecule: long non-coding RNA, 1424 nt
Filed under: Marmota monax (woodchuck)
Lineage: Eukaryota; Metazoa; Chordata; Mammalia; Rodentia; Sciuridae
Source: RNAcentral